Molecule: long non-coding RNA, 2094 nt
Organism: Equus asinus (donkey)
Lineage: Eukaryota; Metazoa; Chordata; Mammalia; Perissodactyla; Equidae
Source: Ensembl
GCCACCUGCAUGCCACUCCUCCAUGUAUUGCUACGGAUGUGUGCCCUUCCUUGGAUAAACAGGUAAUCUGACAUGGAAUGUGUGGAAGUAUACACCACGUGCGGAAUUCCGUGUGAGGACAGAGAUCUUGAGAGGCCAAGGAGUUAACUGUUGAGCAUCUCAAAUUCUCCUGUCUGAGUUCCACUGACCCUCAUCUCCAUCCGUUGACAGAGAUAUCCACUGCACCUUAAACCUCAAUACGGUUGAUGAGCUGGACCCAUAAUGGACAUGAACACUGAGCUCACUUGGAUCAGUCCUCCACAUCUUAAUGUGUUUCACUGUAAUUUGCUAAAAACCUGAACCUUCUUUUUUGAUUCCAAGUGAUCAAGGGCGGAAAAGCAAAAGUUGGGACUUAGGAACAUCAAAAUGAGAGACUAAGGAAUUAAUAUUCUAAAGUAUCCAAUAUUUUCUCUAAGUCAGUUGUUUUCAGACUUUAGUGUUGCGUUAUCAGUCACCUGGAGAACUUGUUAAAAAAUGCAGAUCCCAAACCAUCCCCUAGACAUUCUGAUUUAAUCGGUCUUGACUAAGACUCAAGAAUCUUCACUUUUAACAAGCACCUUAUUUUGAUGCUGUUUGACAGUAAACUACACUUUCAGAAUAUUCAUCUUAGGUCCUAAGUCAGAGGGCAGGUUUUUAAAAAUCUUACACAAUUCCCAAUAUGGAACUUGGGCAUGGUCUUGAAAGCAGCCUGCUUUCCCACUGCAUCUGUGCUUAUGGAAAACUGGAACAGUGUUUUGUAAUUGUGCUUUAUACUCUGAGGUUUCUUAUAUAAACAGCCCAUAUAACUACACACAGGAGCACUAUGGGCUGCCAAUGUGCUUCUGCAGAGUUGUUUUUAACUUCAAUCAUCUUUUCUCCACUGGUUCACAUUACAAGUUCCAAGAUGUUUUAUUUUCCUUUCUGAUUGAUUUGAUAUUGACCCAAAUCCUUUACUUCUAAAUAUACAUUCUUCUCUAAGAUGCCUGACAAAUUGUAAAUGAUAUAUGAGCUCCUUGAGGCUAGAGACUGGGUCUAAUUAUGCAGAAGGGGAAUUUUCAACAUUUAUGAGACUCCUACGGUGGUAAAUCUUUCUGUAAACUAAAAGAUCACAUCUUAAUUGAUCUAUUUCUUAAGUUUAGAUUUUUGUGGAUUUUUCUUUAAUUGGGACAUCUUUUCCUUUGUGAGUUAGUAUGGUGUAGUAGGAAGAGUUCCAGAAUGAAAUGCAAAAAGAUCUAGGCUAGUGCCAGUCCUGUCAUUUUCUGACUCUGUGCACGACUUUGGAAAGAUCAUUUAAUCUGUUACCUUGUUUGUAAAUUGGGGAUAAUAGUAGGAGAGACUAUGAUAUUUUAGAAAGAAAAGUGGGCAAAGCAAAAUACAGCCAUGAAAACCCAGCAUGUAGGCCAACUGGAAGGUAAUCUACAAAAUGAAAAUCAUUGCUGAUUUUUAGUAGUAAUUUAAAAUUUAUUUCAAUGUUUUAUUGCUUUGUGUUGUUAUCGUCUAAUAUAAAUAUGAGAAAGAAAUAAUAAGUUCUGGAUAAAAGGCAGAACUUUGUUCUCAACCAGCCUGAACCACUUAUUUGUUAACCAAUUGCAGUCAAAAGAGAAGAAAUGUGAUAUUUUAGUUAAUUUUAUCUUGAGGAAAGGUGCAGCUUCUGUUCUGCUGUUUAAAAGGCUAGUAAUGGCUUAUAGGUCUUCAAAUGUUAAUAACGAUUCUGUGACUCAUUUACCUGCUUUCCAUCUUAUUGGCUUAUUAUGAGAUUCAAAUUAGAUAAGGUAUAUGAAACUGCUUCGAAAAUGGUAAGAAGUUAUACAAAGUCCUAAGAUAAUGUUUAUAAAGUCCUUCCAAACCUCCGUCUCUCCCUUACCCCUACAAAAGUUUGCUUUUGGAGUGAUUGAAAUUUUAAUAAAAUUGAACUAUUUUAUCCUAAACCUGGCUGUAAAGUUUUAAUUCCUAGGGUUCUAAUUAUUUACCAUUCUUUUUGUAGCAACUAGACGGACAGGAGAUUGUCUGUUGGGCCCGUCUUCUUUCAGCUGUUCUCAUCUAGGAAUGCAGGUGCAAAAAAAGUGGAAAGUCUGG